RNAcentral lists this ribosomal RNA (632 nucleotides) under uncultured bacterium. RNAcentral describes it as "bacterial SSU rRNA". It matches the Rfam family "Bacterial small subunit ribosomal RNA", at positions 865 to 1501 of the family's 1533-position model. The record is from RNAcentral.
UCGACCGCCUGGGGAGUACGGCCGCAAGGUUAAAACUCAAAGGAAUUGACGGGGACCCGCACAAGCGGUGGAUGAUGUGGUUUAAUUCGAUGCAACGCGAAAAACCUUACCUACCCUUGACAUGCCAGGAACUUACCAGAGAUGGUUUGGUGCUCGAAAGAGAGCCUGGACACAGGUGCUGCAUGGCUGUCGUCAGCUCGUGUCGUGAGAUGUUGGGUUAAGUCCCGCAACGAGCGCAACCCUUGUCAUUAGUUGCUACGCAAGAGCACUCUAAUGAGACCGCCGGUGACAAACCGGAGGAAGGUGGGGAUGACGUCAAGUCCUCAUGGCCCUUAUGGGUAGGGCUACACACGUCAUACAAUGGGCGGUACAGAGGGUUGCCAACCCGCGAGGGGGAGCCAAUCCCUUAAAACCGCUCGUAGUCCGGAUUGUAGUCUGCAACUCGACUGCAUGAAGUCGGAAUCGCUAGUAAUCGCGGAUCAGCUUGCCGCGGUGAAUACGUUCCCGGGUCUUGUACACACCGCCCGUCACACCAUGGAAGUGGGGUUUACCAGAAGUAGUUAGCUUAACCGCAAGGGGGGCGAUUACCACGGUAGGCUUCAUGACUGGGGUGAAGUCGUAACAAGGUAACC